RNAcentral lists this ribosomal RNA (653 nucleotides) under uncultured bacterium. Its description in RNAcentral is "bacterial SSU rRNA". It matches the Rfam family "Bacterial small subunit ribosomal RNA", at positions 202 to 842 of the family's 1533-position model. The record is from RNAcentral.
GAAAGGCGCUUUUGCGUCACUGAUGGAUGGACCCGCGGUGCAUUAGCUAGUUGGUGAGGUAACGGCUCACCAAGGCCACGAUGCAUAGCCGACCUGAGAGGGUGAUCGGCCACACUGGGACUGAGACACGGCCCAGACUCCUACGGGAGGCAGCAGUAGGGAAUCUUCGGCAAUGGACGAAGGUCUGACCGAGCAACGCCGCGUGAGUGAAGAAGGUUUUCGGAUCGUAAAACUCUGUUGUUAGAGAAGAACAAGGAUGAGAGUAGAACGUUCAUCCCUUGACGGUAUCUAACCAGAAAGCCACGGCUAACUACGUGCCAGCAGCCGCGGUAAUACGUAGGUGGCAAGCGUUGUCCGGAUUUAUUGGGCGUAAAGCGAGCGCAGGCGGUUUCUUAAGUCUGAUGUGAAAGCCCCCGGCUCAACCGGGGAAGGUCAUUGGAAACUGGGAGACUUGAGUGCAGAAGAGGAGAGUGGAAUUCCAUGUGUAGCGGUGAAAUGCGUAGAUAUAUGGAGGAACACCAGUGGCGAAGGCGGCUCUCUGGUCUGUAACUGACGCUGAGGCUCGAAAGCGUGGGGAGCGAACAGGAUUAGAUACCCUGGUAGUCCACGCCGUAAACGAUGAGUGCUAAGUGUUGGAGGGUUUCCGCCCUUCA